GUAAAUGCAACGAAAGAUCGAAGUAGUUUUGCAAAUCCAUUUUAAAGAGAGUUAGCGGGUGGUGGAAGCUAACAUACAUUUGCAAGCGAAUUACAAUCUGGAGCUUUUUCUACUUAGUAGAAACGGUGAAACCCCCAUCGUUAAAAACCCCAAAGUGGCAUUUCUAUGCAACAAGGGUGGUACCGCGAAUAAACUCUCGUCCCUUUA
Molecule: non-coding RNA, 207 nt
Filed under: Virgibacillus necropolis
Lineage: Bacteria; Bacillati; Bacillota; Bacilli; Caryophanales; Bacillaceae
Description: T-box sequence
Rfam family: T-box leader
About the family: Uncharged tRNA acts as the effector for transcription antitermination of genes in the T-box leader family. T-boxes are found upstream of many aminoacyl-tRNA synthetase genes and some amino acid biosynthetic genes usually in Gram-positive bacteria.
Source: RNAcentral